RNAcentral lists this transfer RNA (44 nucleotides) under Psychoda satchelli. RNAcentral's name for it is "partial tRNA-Ser". The record is from RNAcentral. Lineage: Eukaryota; Metazoa; Arthropoda; Insecta; Diptera; Psychodidae.
NNUAGUUAAUGAGCUUGAUACAAGCAUAUGUUUUGAAAACAUAA